AUUCAAAUAGCUUAAAAAGAGCACAGUAGUGAAGUUACUGGGGUAAUAAAUUUAUUUUUGAAUA
This 64-nucleotide transfer RNA is filed under the name Suinzona cyrtonoides. Its description in RNAcentral is "tRNA-Phe". Lineage: Eukaryota; Metazoa; Arthropoda; Insecta; Coleoptera; Chrysomelidae. The record is from RNAcentral.